This 142-nucleotide unclassified non-coding RNA is filed under the name Flavobacterium sp. ov086. Its description in RNAcentral is "Flavo-1 RNA". The record is from RNAcentral. Lineage: Bacteria; Pseudomonadati; Bacteroidota; Flavobacteriia; Flavobacteriales; Flavobacteriaceae.
UCAUGCCCCAGAUUACAGUGAAAACCCCGGAAUUGAGGUAGUUUACAUUUUUUGUAUUUAGAAAGCGACCAGAGGAAGCUCUUGUAAAUACUUAAAAAUGUUACUAACGCAAUGGGAGUUGCAACGGAAAGCUGGAUUAGGC